RNAcentral lists this unclassified non-coding RNA (559 nucleotides) under Hevea brasiliensis (rubber tree). Lineage: Eukaryota; Viridiplantae; Streptophyta; Magnoliopsida; Malpighiales; Euphorbiaceae. The record is from RNAcentral.
AGUUGUGGUGAUGAUGGUCGGAUUCGAGGAUGGAAGUGGAAAGAAAUGUUGGGAUCUACGGAAUCAGCACAAGGAGGCGUAUCAAAGCCGGUACUUGACUUGGUAAAUCCUCAGAAGAAAGGUCCAUGGGGGGCGCUUUCUCCAAUACCUGAAAAUAAUUGCGUGGCUGUUAAUACUCAGACCGGAUCCAUAUUUGCUGCUUCUGGUGAUUCUUGUGCAUAUUGCUGGGAUGUGGAGACGAAUGAAAUAAAGAUGGUUCUUAAAGGACAUUCGGACUACUUGCACUGCAUUGUUGCGCGAAAUUCUCACAAUCAGGUCAUAACUGGUUCAGAGGAUGGGACAGCACGGAUAUGGGAUUGCAGAACUGGUAAAUGUAUUCAAAUAAUUGAUCCCCAGAAGGAUAAGAAGUUAAAGGAGUUGUAUCCGUAUGUCAGUUGCAUAGCUCUUGAUGCAAGCGAGAGUUGGCUGGCUUGUGGAAGUGGCCAGUCUUUAUCUGUUUGGAAUCUUCCUGCGUGUGAAUGUGUUUCAGGUAUCACGACAAGUGCUGCUACCCAGGAUG